Molecule: ribosomal RNA, 484 nt
Filed under: uncultured bacterium
Lineage: Bacteria
Description: partial 16S ribosomal RNA
Rfam family: Bacterial small subunit ribosomal RNA
Source: RNAcentral
AUUGAACGCUGGCGGCAGGCCUAACACAUGCAAGUCGAGCGGAUGAAGGGAGCUUGCUCCUGGAUUCAGCGGCGGACGGGUGAGUAAUGCCUAGGAAUCUGCCUGGUAGUGGGGGAUAACGUCCGGAAACGGGCGCUAAUACCGCAUACUUCCUGAGGGAGAAAGUGGGGGAUCUUCGGACCUCACGCUAUCAGAUGAGCCUAGGUCGGAUUAGCUAGUUGGUGGGGUAAAGGCCUACCAAGGCGACGAUCCGUAACUGGUCUGAGAGGAUGAUCAGUCACACUGGAACUGAGACACGGUCCAGACUCCUACGGGAGGCAGCAGUGGGGAAUAUUGGACAAUGGGCGAAAGCAUGAUCCAGCCAUGCCGCGUGUGUGAAGAAGGUCUUCGGAUUGUAAAGCACUUUAAGUUGGGAGGAAGGGCAGUAAGUUAAUACCUUGCUGUUUUGACGUUACCAACAGAAUAAGCACCGGCUAACUUCGUG